This 24-nucleotide non-coding RNA is filed under the name Arabidopsis thaliana (thale cress). The record is from RNAcentral. Lineage: Eukaryota; Viridiplantae; Streptophyta; Magnoliopsida; Brassicales; Brassicaceae.
AGGUUUGAAUUCGCCAGUUCCUAC